RNAcentral lists this ribosomal RNA (274 nucleotides) under uncultured bacterium. RNAcentral describes it as "partial 16S ribosomal RNA". It matches the Rfam family "Bacterial small subunit ribosomal RNA", at positions 523 to 796 of the family's 1533-position model. The record is from RNAcentral.
AUACGGAGGGGGUUAGCGUUGUUCGGAAUUACUGGGCGUAAAGCGCACGUAGGCGGACUGGAAAGUUGGGGGUGAAAUCCCGGGGCUCAACCCCGGAACUGCCUCCAAAACUUCCAAUCUAGAGAUCGAGAGAGGUGAGUGGAAUUCCAAGUGUAGAGGUGAAAUUCGUAGAUAUUUGGAGGAACACCAGUGGCGAAGGCGGCUCACUGGCUCGAUACUGACGCUGAGGUACGAAAGCGUGGGUAGCAAACGGGAUUAGAUACCCCAGUAGUCC